GCGGGAGUCGCCUAGCCUGGUCAAUGGCGGCAGGCUUAAGACCUGCUGGCUUAGUGCCUUCGUGGGUUCAAAUCCCACCUCCCGCA
This is a transfer RNA of 86 nucleotides. It matches the Rfam family "tRNA". Rfam says of the family: Transfer RNA (tRNA) molecules are approximately 80 nucleotides in length.